UUAACUGAAACCAAAACAGAGGUAUAUUAUUGUUAAUAAUAUAAAUGAAUCAAAGAAUUCCAGUUAAA
Molecule: transfer RNA, 68 nt
Filed under: Coptotermes formosanus (Formosan subterranean termite)
Lineage: Eukaryota; Metazoa; Arthropoda; Insecta; Blattodea; Rhinotermitidae
Also listed under: 1 other name
Description: tRNA-Asn
Source: RNAcentral